UACAGAGGCCUCUAGCGUUAGGCGGAAUCACUGGGCUUAAAGCGUGUGUAGGCGGGUCGUUAAGUGCCUUGUGAAAUCCCCUGGCUCAACCAGGGAACUGCUUGGCAUACUGGCGAUCUUGAGCCACCUAGGGGCAACUGGAACAGACGGUGGAGCGGUGAAAUGCGUAGAUAUUGGGAAGAACACCAGUGGCGAAAGCGAGCUUCUGGGCUAUUACUGACGCUGAGGUACGAAAGCGUGGGGAGCAAACGGG
Molecule: ribosomal RNA, 253 nt
Filed under: uncultured bacterium
Lineage: Bacteria
Description: partial 16S ribosomal RNA
Rfam family: Bacterial small subunit ribosomal RNA
Source: RNAcentral